Molecule: long non-coding RNA, 406 nt
Organism: Ipomoea nil (Japanese morning glory)
Lineage: Eukaryota; Viridiplantae; Streptophyta; Magnoliopsida; Solanales; Convolvulaceae
Exons: 2
Source: RefSeq, a predicted model, not a curated record
AUCAUGGAUUUUUCGAAUAUAUUGUCCAAUGACCCAUCAUAUGCGGUCAUGACUUUUAUUAUUAACUGCAUAUUAUUCACUACCAAUGAUAUUAAUUAAUCAGCAAAACUUAUUGUCAUACAUUAUGGGAGAAUAUAUCAUAUUAAAAUCAAUUCUGGGUAUCUGUGUAAACCCAUGAGCUCCAAGCUUCGCUUUAUAUCAUAUCAUUAUUCUCUUUCGUACCAACUCCUAUUCAAUUGUGUGUACACAUAAUAUAGAGAAUACAAUAGCGAGUUGAGCUAUGUCUUAAUUGCUCCUUUAUAUAUCAAAUAAUCAGGGCACUUCUUGUGCCUAGUUCUGGAUCCAGAUUGAGCAAUUAUAAAGGCAAAUGUGUUAUCGACAACAUUUUUCAUAAAUUUCUCUCAUA